GAUGAACGCUGGCGGCGUGCUUAACACAUGCAAGUCGAACGGAAAGGCCAGUGCUUGCACUGGUACUCGAGUGGCGAACGGGUGAGUAACACGUGGGUGAUCUGCCCUGCACUUCGGGAUAAGCCUGGGAAACUGGGUCUAAUACCGGAUAGGACCACAUUUUGGAUGGUGUGGUGGAAAGUUUUUCGGUGUGGGAUGAGCUCGCGGCCUAUCAGCUUGUUGGUGGGGUAAUGGCCUACCAAGGCGUCGACGGGUAGCCGGCCUGGGAGGGUGUACGGCCACAUUGGGACUGAGGUACGGCCCAGACUCCUACGGGAGGCAGCAGUGGGGAAUAUUGCACAAUGGGCGCAAGCCUGAUGCAGCGACGCCGCGUGGGGGGUGACGGCCUUCGGGUUGUAAACUCCUUUCGCUAGGGACGAAGCGUAUUUGUGACGGUACCUGGAGAAGAAGCACCGGCUAACUACGUGCCAGCCGCCGCCGUAA
This 483-nucleotide ribosomal RNA is filed under the name uncultured bacterium. RNAcentral describes it as "partial 16S ribosomal RNA". It matches the Rfam family "Bacterial small subunit ribosomal RNA", at positions 28 to 523 of the family's 1533-position model. The record is from RNAcentral.